ACCCCCUGGCAAUGAGCAAAGGGACACCUGGGUGGUGGUGGUCUUAUAUCAAUCAGGGACAGAGCAGUUGCCAGUCCUUUGUUUAUCUUAGCUUGCUGCCUGGCUUAGUGGUCAAGCUGUUUUAUGCCUAGGACUCAUAA
Molecule: small nucleolar RNA, 140 nt
Organism: Acomys russatus (golden spiny mouse)
Lineage: Eukaryota; Metazoa; Chordata; Mammalia; Rodentia; Muridae
Product: small nucleolar RNA SNORA48
Exons: 1
Source: RefSeq, a predicted model, not a curated record